RNAcentral lists this ribosomal RNA (460 nucleotides) under uncultured bacterium. Its description in RNAcentral is "partial 16S ribosomal RNA". It matches the Rfam family "Bacterial small subunit ribosomal RNA", at positions 338 to 795 of the family's 1533-position model. The record is from RNAcentral.
CCUACGGGUGGCAGCAGUGAGGAAUAUUGGUCAAUGGGCGCGAGCCUGAACCAGCCAAGUCGCGUGAGGGAGGACGGCCCUACGGGUUGUAAACCUCUUUUGCCGGGGAGCAACGGGCGCCACGUGUGGCGGCACGGAGAGAACCCGGAGAAAAAGCAUCGGCUAACUCCGUGCCAGCAGCCGCGGUAAUACGGAGGAUGCGAGCGUUAUCCGGAUUUAUGGGGUGUACGGGGUGCGUAGGCGGAUCGUUAAGUCCGUGGUCAAAUUGUGGGGCUCAACCCCUUCCCGCCAUUGAAACUGGCGUUCUUGAGUGGAAGAGAAGUAUGCGGAAUGCGUGGUGUAGCGGUGAAAUGCAUAGAUAUCACGCAGAACCCCGAUUGCGAAGGCAGCAUGCCGGCUUCCGACUGACGCUGACGCACGAAAGCGUGGGGAUCGAACAGGAUUAGAUACCCUAGUAGUC